CACGCUGGCGGCGUGCCUAAUACAUGCAAGUCAACGGUCUUUCUAUGGAAGCUUGCUUCCACUGAGAAGAUAGUGGCGAACGGGUGAGUAACACGUGGGUAACCUGCCCAUAAGAGGGGGAUAACAUCCGGAAACGGGUGCUAAUACCGCAUAGUUUUCUUGAUCGCAUGAUCGGGAAAGGGAAGACGGCCUUUGUGCUGUCGCUUAUGGAUGGACCCGCGGCGUAUUAGUUAGUUGGUGAGGUAACGGCUCACCAAGACGAUGAUACGUAGCCGACCUGAGAGGGUGAUCGGCCACAUUGGGACUGAGACACGGCCCAAACUCCUACGGGAGGGCAGCAGUAGGGAAUCUUCCGCAAUGGACAAAAGUCUGACGGAGCAACGCCGCGUGAGUGAAGAAGGUUUUCGGAUCGUAAAACUCUGUUGUCAGAGAAGAACAAGUUGGAGGGUAACUGCUCCAGCCUUGACGGUAUCUGACCAGAAAGCCACGGCUAACUACGUGCCAGCCGCCGC
This 512-nucleotide ribosomal RNA is filed under the name uncultured bacterium. Its description in RNAcentral is "bacterial SSU rRNA". It matches the Rfam family "Bacterial small subunit ribosomal RNA", at positions 33 to 518 of the family's 1533-position model. The record is from RNAcentral.